UCUCCGUAGGUGAACCUGCGGAGGGAUCAUUACAGAGUUCAUGCCCUACCGGGUAGAUCUCCCACCCUAUGUUAUUAUUACUUUGUUGCUUUGGCGGGCCGUUAGGCUCCGGCCCGACUACCGGCCCCGGCUGGUAAGCGCCCGCCAGAGGACCCAAAACCCUGAAUAUUAGUGUCGUCUGAGUACUAUAUAAUAGUUAAAACUUUCAACAACGGAUCUCUUGGUUCUGGCAUCGAUAAGAACGCAGC
This 248-nucleotide unclassified non-coding RNA is filed under the name plant metagenome. Its description in RNAcentral is "partial contains small subunit ribosomal RNA, internal transcribed spacer 1, and 5.8S ribosomal RNA". The record is from RNAcentral.